CCAGACUCCUACGGGAGGCAGCAGUGGGGAAUAUUGCAAAAUGGGGGAAACCCUGAUGCAGCGACGCCGCGUGAGUGAAGAAGUAUUUCGGUAUGUAAAGCUCUAUCAGCAGGGAAGAAAAUGACGGUACCUGAUUAAGAAGCCCCGGCUAACUACGUGCCAGCAGCCGCGGUAAUACGUAGGGGGCAAGCGUUAUCCGGAUUUACUGGGUGUAAAGGGAGCGUAGACGGCAGCGCAAGUCUGAAGUGAAAUGCCGGGGCUUAACCCCGGAACUGCUUUGGAAACUGUGCAGCUAGAGUGCAGGAGAGGUAAGUGGAAUUCCUAGUGUAGCGGUGAAAUGCGUAGAUAUUAGGAGGAACACCGGUGGCGAAGGCGGCUUACUGGACCGUAACUGACGUUGAGGCUCGAAAGCGUGGGGAGCAAAC
RNAcentral lists this ribosomal RNA (425 nucleotides) under uncultured bacterium. RNAcentral's name for it is "bacterial SSU rRNA". It matches the Rfam family "Bacterial small subunit ribosomal RNA", at positions 331 to 773 of the family's 1533-position model. The record is from RNAcentral.